AACGAACGCUGGCGGCAUGCCUAACACAUGCAAGUCGAACGAGACCUUCGGGUCUAGUGGCGCACGGGUGCGUAACGCGUGGGAACCUGCCCUUAGGUUCGGAAUAACUCCCCGAAAGGGGUGCUAAUACCGGAUAAUGUCUUCGGACCAAAGAUUUAUCGCCCUUGGAUGGGCCCGCGUUGGAUUAGCUAGUUGGUAGGGUAAAAGCCUACCAAGGCGACGAUCCAUAGCUGGUCUGAGAGGAUGAUCAGCCACACUGGGACUGAGACACGGCCCAGACUCCUACGGGAGGCAGCAGUGGGGAAUAUUGGAAAAUGGGCGAAAGCAUGAUCCAGCAAUGCCGCGUGAGUGAUGAAGGCCUUAGGGUUGUAAAGCUCUUUUACCCGGGAUGAUAAUGACAGUACCGGGAGAAUAAGCUCCGGCUAACUCCGUG
Molecule: ribosomal RNA, 433 nt
Filed under: uncultured bacterium
Lineage: Bacteria
Description: partial 16S ribosomal RNA
Rfam family: Bacterial small subunit ribosomal RNA
Source: RNAcentral